RNAcentral lists this ribosomal RNA (253 nucleotides) under uncultured bacterium. RNAcentral's name for it is "partial 16S ribosomal RNA". It matches the Rfam family "Bacterial small subunit ribosomal RNA", at positions 524 to 776 of the family's 1533-position model. The record is from RNAcentral.
UACGUAGGGGGCAAGCGUUGUCCGGAAUCAUUGGGCGUAAAGAGUGUGUAGGCGGUGCUCUAAGUCUGUUGUGAAAUCUCCCGGCUUAACUGGGAGGGUGCAGCGGAAACUGGAAUGCUCGAGUAUGGGAGAGGUAAGCGGAAUUCCUGGUGUAGCGGUGAAAUGCGUAGAUAUCAGGAGGAACACCUGUGGUGUAGACAGCUUACUGGACCAUCACUGACGCUGAGACACGAAAGCGUGGGUAGCAAACAGG